CCUACGGGAGGCAGCAGUGAGGAAUAUUGGUCAAUGGUCGCGAGUCUGAACCAGCCAAGCCGCGUGCAGGAGGACGGCUCUGUGUGUUGUAAACCUCUUUUGUCCGAGAACAAACGCAGAUACGCGUAUCCGUCUGAGAGUACCUUACGAAUAAGCAUCGGCUAACUCCGUGCCAGCAGCCGCGGUAAUACGGAGGAUUCCAGCGUUAUCCGGAUUUAUUGGGUUUAAAGGGUGCGGAGGCGGUCGGAUAAGUCAGCGGUGAAAGGCCGUGGCUCAACCACAGCACGGCCGUUGAAACUGGCAGGCUCGAGUAGGAGAGAGGUAGGCGGAAUGCGCGGUGUAGCGGUGAAAUGCAUAGAUAUCACGCAGAACCCCGAUUGCGAAGGCAGCAUGCCAGGCCAAGACUGACGCUGAUGCACGAAAGCGUGGGGAUCAAACAGGAUUAGAUACCCCAGUAGUC
Molecule: ribosomal RNA, 460 nt
Filed under: uncultured bacterium
Lineage: Bacteria
Description: partial 16S ribosomal RNA
Rfam family: Bacterial small subunit ribosomal RNA
Source: RNAcentral